Paramuricea clavata is the source of this 625-nucleotide non-coding RNA. The record is from the annotation of a GenBank genome assembly. Lineage: Eukaryota; Metazoa; Cnidaria; Anthozoa; Malacalcyonacea; Plexauridae.
CACUGUUUUAAUUUGUUCAUAAAUGGACAGCACACAGCUUCUGAACUUUCCUGGAAAUGAUCAUAUUGCCUUGUCUUAAGUGUAUCUAAUAUAAAUUCGGUUCAAAGCGAACGAUACUCAAAAUACCUAGAAUUUUGGAGAACUGUAGGGAGCCACCUUAAGCAAGUGACGUUUUUGACAACACGGACGUCGACCGGAAGUAAAGUUGACGUUUUUCACCAAUCACAGCCCUUGACCCAGUCUUCUGACGUUACUCAUGCCGUUCGUGUUGUCAAAAACGUCACUUGCUUAAGCUCACUAGUAUCCGGUUAAGCACCAACCUCGUUCCCAGGCUCUUACCUCUUGUGGAGGAAAGACCCUGGUAGGAGCUGGUCACGUGAUCUCCUAAAAUCUAGCAGAUUUCUAGUGAACUAUCUUGGAUUCCUUUUAAAAUCAAAUCAAACUUGGUCAAAUUACACAUCACAAUUACACUACACAAAAAUGGUCAAAUUACUAAUCAGUCACACUAUGAGUUCGAGUACUGAAAAUGGUUCAACUGACCAGUGACCACAGAGCAUAGACAUCUUAUAUACACUAGAUAUUGCAUCUAAUUAUUCUGCAAUUCAAAAAUUGAAGCCGUGAUUGC